This 615-nucleotide ribosomal RNA is filed under the name uncultured bacterium. Its description in RNAcentral is "bacterial SSU rRNA". It matches the Rfam family "Bacterial small subunit ribosomal RNA", at positions 338 to 951 of the family's 1533-position model. The record is from RNAcentral.
CCUACGGGAGGUAGCAGUAAGGAAUAUUGGUCAAUGGGGGCAACCCUGAACCAGCCAUGCCGCGUGCAGGAAGACGGCCCUACGGGUUGUAAACUGCUUUUAUACGGGAAUAAACCUCUCUUCGUGAAGAGAGCUGAAUGUACUGUAAGAAUAAGGAUCGGCUAACUCCGUGCCAGCAGCCGCGGUAAUACGGAGGAUCCAAGCGUUAUCCGGAUUUAUUGGGUUUAAAGGGUGCGUAGGCGGCCUAUUAAGUCAGGGGUGAAAGACGGUGGCUCAACCAUCGCAGUGCCCUUGAUACUGAUGGGCUUGAUUACACUUGAGGUAGGCGGAAUGUGACAAGUAGCGGUGAAAUGCAUAGAUAUGUCACAGAACACCAAUUGCGAAGGCAGCUUACUAAGGUGUUAAUGACGCUGAGGCACGAAAGCGUGGGGAUCAAACAGGAUUAGAUACCCUGGUAGUCCACGCCCUAAACGAUGAAUACUCGAUGUUAGCGAUAUACAGUUAGCGUCAAAGCGAAAGCGUCAAGUAUUCCACCUGGGGAGUACGCCCGCAAGGGUGAAACUCAAAGAGUAAGUGGCGNGNGAGAGACGACGACGACGACGACGGAGGAGGAGG